GUCCACGCCGUAAACGAUGUCUACUAGCCGUUGGGGUCCUUGAGGCCUUAGUGGCGCAGCUAACGCACUAAGUAGACCGCCUGGGGAGUACGGUCGCAAGAUUAAAACUCAAAUGAAUUGACGGGGGCCCCGCACAAGCGGUGGAGCAUGUGGUUUAAUUCGACGCAACGCGAAGAACCUUACCAGGUCUUGACAUCUAGAGAACUUUCCAGAAAUGGAUUGGUGCCUUCGGGAACUCUAAGACAGGUGCUGCAUGGCUGUCGU
RNAcentral lists this ribosomal RNA (264 nucleotides) under uncultured bacterium. RNAcentral's name for it is "partial 16S ribosomal RNA". It matches the Rfam family "Bacterial small subunit ribosomal RNA", at positions 793 to 1055 of the family's 1533-position model. The record is from RNAcentral.